AUUGAACGCUGGCGGCAGGCCUAACACAUGCAAGUCGAGCGGAUGAAGGGAGCUUGCUCCUGGAUUCAGCGGCGGACGGGUGAGUAAUGCCUAGGAAUCUGCCUGGUAGUGGGGGAUAACGUCCGGAAACGGGCGCUAAUACCGCAUACGUCCUGAUGGAGAAAGUGGGGGAUCUUCGGACCUCACGCGAUCAGAUGAGCCUAGGUCGGAUUAGCUAGUUGGUGGGGUAAAGGCCUACCAAGGCGACGAUCCGUAACUGGUCUGAGAGGAUGAUCAGUCACACUGGAACUGAGACACGGUCCAGACUCCUACGGGAGGCAGCAGUGGGGAAUAUUGGACAAUGGGCGAAAGCCUGAUCCAGCCAUGCCGCGUGUGUGAAGAAGGUCUUCGGAUUGUAAAGCACUUUAAGUUGGGAGGAAGGGCAGUAAGUUAAUACCUUGCUGUUUUGACGUUACCAACAGAAUAAGCACCGGCUAACUUCGUG
RNAcentral lists this ribosomal RNA (484 nucleotides) under uncultured bacterium. RNAcentral describes it as "partial 16S ribosomal RNA". It matches the Rfam family "Bacterial small subunit ribosomal RNA", at positions 30 to 507 of the family's 1533-position model. The record is from RNAcentral.